RNAcentral lists this ribosomal RNA (460 nucleotides) under uncultured bacterium. RNAcentral describes it as "partial 16S ribosomal RNA". It matches the Rfam family "Bacterial small subunit ribosomal RNA", at positions 338 to 795 of the family's 1533-position model. The record is from RNAcentral.
CCUACGGGUGGCAGCAGUGAGGAAUAUUGGUCAAUGGCCGGAAGGCUGAACCAGCCAUGCCGCGUGAAGGUCAGUGCCCUAUGGGCGUUAAACUUCUUUUGUGCGGGAGCAAUAAUGGUCACGUGUGGCCAGACGAGAGUACUGUACGAAUAAGCAUCGGCUAACUCCGUGCCAGCAGCCGCGGUUAUACGGGGGAUGCAAGCGUUAUACGGAUUUUAUGGGUUUAAAGGGUGCGUAGGCUGGGAGGUAAGUCUGCAGUGAAAUGCCCCCGCUCAACGGGGUGAAGUGCCAUUGAUACUGCCGAGCUGGAAUGCAGAUGCGGUGGGAGGAAUGUGUUGUGUAGCGGUGAAAUGCAUAGAGAUCACACAGAACACCGAUUGCGAAGGCAGCUCACGAAUCCGCGAUUGACGCUGAGGCACGAAAGCGUGGGUAUCAAACAGGAUUAGAUACCCGAGUAGUC